RNAcentral lists this transfer RNA (68 nucleotides) under Mizuhopecten yessoensis (Yesso scallop). RNAcentral's name for it is "tRNA-Asp". Lineage: Eukaryota; Metazoa; Mollusca; Bivalvia; Pectinida; Pectinidae. The record is from RNAcentral.
GGGGAGGGUAGUGAAAAAAUCAUGGGUGGUUGUCUUCCGCCUGUUGCGCCGUGAAACGCCCCUCCCCU